GACGUAGGGGGCGAGCGUUGUCCGGAGUUACUGGGCGUAAAGGGCACGCAGGCGGUCGGGUGCGUUUGGGGUGACAGGGGUCGGCUUCACUGACCCAGGGCCUCGAAAACGGCCUGACUUGAGGCGUGGAGAGGGACCGAGAAUUCCGGGUGGAGUGGUGAAAUGCGUAGAGAUCCGGAGGAAUACCCAAGGCGAAGGCACGGUCCUGGCCACGACCUGACGCUGAGGUGCGAAAGCCAGGGGAGCGAACGGGAUUAGAUACCCCGGUAGUCCUGGCCGUAAACGAUGACCACGCGACGUGGGAGGGCUCGACCCCUUCCGUGUCGGAGCUAACGCGGUAAGUGGUCCGCCUGGGGAGUACGGUCGCAAGAUUAAA
Molecule: ribosomal RNA, 376 nt
Filed under: uncultured bacterium
Lineage: Bacteria
Description: bacterial SSU rRNA
Rfam family: Bacterial small subunit ribosomal RNA
Source: RNAcentral